RNAcentral lists this ribosomal RNA (931 nucleotides) under marine metagenome. Its description in RNAcentral is "bacterial SSU rRNA". It matches the Rfam family "Bacterial small subunit ribosomal RNA", at positions 335 to 1285 of the family's 1533-position model. The record is from RNAcentral.
ACUUCUACGGGAGGCAGCAGUAGGGAAUCUUGCACAAUGGAGGAAACUCUGAUGCAGCGAUGCCGCGUGAGUGAAGAAGGCCUUUGGGUUGUAAAGCUCUUUCGUCGGGGAAGAAAAUGACUGUACCCGAAUAAGAAGGUCCGGCUAACUUCGUGCCAGCAGCCGCGGUAAUACGAAGGGACCUAGCGUAGUUCGGAAUUACUGGGCUUAAAGAGUUCGUAGGUGGUUAAAAAAGUUGGUGGUGAAAUCCCAGAGCUUAACUCUGGAACUGCCAUCAAAACUUUUUAGCUAGAGUAUGAUAGAGGAAAGCAGAAUUUCUAGUGUAGAGGUGAAAUUCGUAGAUAUUAGAAAGAAUACCAAUUGCGAAGGCAGCUUUCUGGAUCAUUACUGACACUGAGGAACGAAAGCAUGGGUAGCGAAGAGGAUUAGAUACCCUCGUAGUCCAUGCUGUAAACGAUGUGUGUUAGACGUUGGAAAUUUAUUUUCAGUGUCGCAGCGAAAGCGAUAAACACACCGCCUGGGGAGUACGACCGCAAGGUUAAAACUCAAAUGAAUUGACGGGGACCCGCACAAGUAGUGGAGCAUGUGGUUUAAUUCGAAGAUACGCGCAGAACCUUACCAACACUUGACAUGUUCGUCGCGACUCUAAGAGAUUAGAGUUUUCGGUUCGGCCGGACGAAACACAGGUGCUGCAUGGCUGUCGUCAGCUCGUGUCGUGAGAUGUUGGGUUAAGUCCCGCAACGAGCGCAACCCUCACUUUUAGUUGCCAUCAUUUAGUUGGGCACUCUGAAAGAACUGCCAGUGAUAAGCUGGAGGAAGGUGGGGAUGACGUCAAGUCCUCAUGGCCCUUACGUGUUGGGCUACACACGUGCUACAAUGGCAUUUACAAUAGGAAGCAAGACGGCGACGUCGAGCAAAUCCUAAAAAUAUG